CGGGUGAGUAACGCGUGAGUAACCUGCCUUUCAGAGGGGAUAACGUUCUGAAAAGAACGCUAAUACCGCAUAAGAUUGUAGUUUCGCAUGGAGCAGCAAUCGAAGGAGCAAUCCGCUGAAAGAUGGACUCGCGUCCGAUUAGAUAGUUGGCGGGGUAACGGCCCACCAAGUCGACGAUCGGUAGCCGGACUGAGAGGUUGAUCGGCCACAUUGGGACUGAGACACGGCCCAG
Molecule: ribosomal RNA, 232 nt
Filed under: uncultured bacterium
Lineage: Bacteria
Description: partial 16S ribosomal RNA
Rfam family: Bacterial small subunit ribosomal RNA
Source: RNAcentral